UCCCUAUUAACUAGGGCAGUUUCCUGUGAAAAAUACAACACAGGAUAGGGGUUGCGCUCGUUAACCGACUGAACGGGACACUUCACAGCACGAGCUGACGACGACCGUGCAGCACCUGUCAUCUGGCUCCUUGCGGCACGGCCCUGUUUCCAGGGCUUUCCAGAGAUGUCAAAUCUUGGUAAGGUUCUUCGCUUGCUGACGAAUUAAACCACACGCUCCACCGCUUGUGCAGGUCCCCGUCAAUUCCUUUGAGUUUUAAGCUUGCGCUCGUAGUCCCCAGGCGGCCGAUUUAACGCGUUAGCUUCGCCCCAAGAGGGGGUCGAUACCCUCCAAGGGCUAAUCGGCAUCGUUUACAGCGUGGACUA
RNAcentral lists this unclassified non-coding RNA (365 nucleotides) under uncultured bacterium. Its description in RNAcentral is "contains 16S-23S intergenic spacer region". The record is from RNAcentral.